This is a long non-coding RNA of Etheostoma cragini (Arkansas darter), 386 nucleotides long. RefSeq lists it as uncharacterized. NCBI's taxonomy places the organism in Eukaryota, Metazoa, Chordata, Actinopteri, Perciformes, Percidae. The transcript is spliced from 3 exons. The record is from RefSeq and is a predicted model, not a curated record.
UCAAAAUGCGAUAUAGAUAGAGCUGAGCAAUGUAUAUACAUUAUAUCGAUAUCGUAAUAUAAGACUAGAUAUUGUCUUAGAUUUUGGCUGGUUAUAUAUUAAUAUGGCAUUAGUGUUGUCUUCUCCUGGUUUUAAAGGCUGCAUUACAGGAAAGUGAUGUCAUUUUCUGAACUUACCAGAAUGUUUUAACAGUUCUUUUAUUUGCCUUUACCCACUUAGUCAUUAUAUCCACAUUACUGAUGAUUAUUUAUCAAAAAUCUCAUUGUGUAAAUAUUUUGUGAAACACCAAUAUUCAAUACUACCAUAUUGUUGCAGUAUCAAUAUUGAGGUAUUUGGUCAAAAUUAUUGUGAUAUGUAAUUUUCUCCAUAUAGCCCAACCCUAUGAG